RNAcentral lists this ribosomal RNA (474 nucleotides) under uncultured bacterium. RNAcentral describes it as "partial 16S ribosomal RNA". It matches the Rfam family "Bacterial small subunit ribosomal RNA", at positions 28 to 523 of the family's 1533-position model. The record is from RNAcentral.
GAUGAACGCUGGCGGCGUGCUUAACACAUGCAAGUCGAGCGAGUGAGUUUUUCGGAACGAACUAGCGGCGGACGGGUGAGUAACACGUGGGCAACCUGCCUCAUAGAGGGGAAUAGCCUCCCGAAAGGGAGAUUAAUACCGCAUAAAAUUAUCGAGUGGCAUCACACGAUAAUCAAAGGAGUAAUCCGCUAUGAGAUGGGCCCGCGGCGCAUUAGCUAGUUGGUGAGGUAACGGCUCACCAAGGCGACGAUGCGUAGCCGACCUGAGAGGGUGAUCGGCCACAUUGGGACUGAGACACGGCCCAGACUCCUACGGGAGGCAGCAGUGGGGAAUAUUGCACAAUGGGGAAACCCUGAUGCAGCAACGCCGCGUGAGUGAUGAAGGUCUUCGGAUUGUAAAGCUCUGUCUUUGGGACGAUAAUGACGGUACCCAAGGAGGAAGCCACGGCUAACUACGUGCCAGCAGCCGCAGUAA